AGUGAACGCUGGCGGUAGGCCUAACACAUGCAAGUCGAACGGCAGCACAGUAAGAGCUUGCUCUUACGGGUGGCGAGUGGCGGACGGGUGAGGAAUACAUCGGAAUCUACUUUUUCGUGGGGGAUAACGUAGGGAAACUUACGCUAAUACCGCAUACGACCUACGGGUGAAAGCAGGGGAUCUUCGGACCUUGCGCGAUUGAAUGAGCCGAUGUCGGAUUAGCUAGUUGGCGGGGUAAAGGCCCACCAAGGCGACGAUCCGUAGCUGGUCUGAGAGGAUGAUCAGCCACACUGGAACUGAGACACGGUCCAGGCUCCUACGGGAGGCAGCAGUGGGGAAUAUUGGACAAUGGGCGCAGGCCUGAUCCAGCCAUGCCGCGUGGGUGAAGAAGGCCUUCGGGUUGUAAAGCCCUUUUGUUGGGAAAGAAAAGCAGCAGGUUAAUACCCCGCUGUUCUGACGGUACCCAAAGAAUAAGCACCGGCUAACUUCGUG
Molecule: ribosomal RNA, 492 nt
Filed under: uncultured bacterium
Lineage: Bacteria
Description: partial 16S ribosomal RNA
Rfam family: Bacterial small subunit ribosomal RNA
Source: RNAcentral